CGGGUACGCAGCCGAGUCUCCGCAGUGAGCACCGCGACGCCUUCGAAGACGAAUCGUGUUUAGAAUUAAGCCGGUGUGAACGUUAAGUUACACGAGGCGUGCCUUUUUUUCGAAAGGGAUCUUCGAAUCUGGAAGAAAUAGCCGAUGUGCAGUGGGUGAAUUUCAGUUUCCACACCUUUUCCCGAGCAUCUACGAUAUUACUUCGAGAGGAACAGGAAGACAGAAGGAGAGAAAGAUGGAUAGAUAGAUAGAGAGAGAGAGAGAGAGAGAAAGGUUUAUCUGGAAGAAAGGUUGCGCUGCGGUAUCUACGAUCCGCCCUUUUUUCAUGGGAUAUCUGACAUAAAUAAAACCAAAUAAAAAAUAAACGUACCUUAAGAGGCAAAUUUGCAAUUUGAACGUUCUUUUUUUUUUUUUUAUAUUUUCGAUUGAUAUAUUAUUCUUCUAUUUUGUUUCAUACAUAAUCAUUCGUUCUCUUUACUAUCUUCAUCAUUCUCUCUUUCUCUCUAUUUUGAUUUCUAUUUUUGACUGAGUUUUCUUUUUUUUUUGUUUCACUUCCAUGGAUUUUCUCUUCGUUCACAUCGAAAGUCAUGGCAGGACCAAAAGAGAACACAAGUUUCACGUAUUUGAAAAAAAGUACAUUUACGUAACUGCAUCUCGUAAUAUUCCAAAAAUAUCCUUGAAAUCAGGAACAGUGAAUCUUCGAUAGAAGGAGGAUAUUUUCUAUUAAAAAAAAGAAAAGAACAGAAAAUAGUGACAAAAAAUAAGAGAAGAAGAAGAAGAAGAAGAACAAAAGGACAGAGAUAAUAUAUACAACGCGUGUGUGUAUGUGUACGUGUGUGUACGUAAUAUGUGAUAGGAAAAGAUGUUGGAUAGAAAAAAAAUUCAGGCUGACGUGUACAAAGUGAUAAAAUCAGAAGAAGAGAGGUACCCGCUGCUUCCUGGAAUCACCAGGACGAUAUAGAAGCUUAAUGGCGCGAUCGGGGUGGUUCACCCUCGACUUUGGAAGGUCGUCACGAAGGAAUAUCGAUCGUAGGAUCUCAAACGGACGUGAUAAAGAAAAAAAAGAAAAGGAAGAGGACAAGUUAACGUAUCUAAUGCAACGUUACGAACAACGUUAAUUAUUUUUCUUUUUUCUACAACCAUUUUUUUCGAUCUAAAAUCCCCCUAACCCUCUUAAAUAAAUAAAAGACACCACUUUGUAUCGAGAAAAACAAGCGAAAGGUUUUUGAUUGUUGAAAUGAUUUUUAUUUCAACGAGUAAAUAAAGGGGAAGAUUAUUUUAUGAAAAUAAAUGUUAAACAUUGAAAGAUCGUUAGAUUAGGUUAUACGACAAAAACGAAAGAACUGUGAUUAUUUUUGAUUCUCUUUACUGAAGGGAAGGGUUCAAUACCAAUCAAUUUCCCGUCGUGGGAAUUUUCAUUCGGAUUGAUCAAUCGAUUUAGAGAAAAUAAAGGAAGAAGAAAAUAAACGGAAACAAAUUUGUGAAAAGAUAUCGAGUAAAUUUAGAUUAGUUGGUUCUUUACAAAGUAAUCCAACGUCGAAAUAAAAUUCUUUUCUUUUCUUUUCUUUGUUUUUUGUUUUUUUUUUUUCAAGAUCAUUUAACCAACGAAAAAUGAUUAUAAUAUAAUCAUCUCACGGUCAAGUUGAUAAAAAUGAGAAUUCAUUGGAAAUAAUUUCAUUAAUCUCGAAAUGAAUUGUAAAAUUUAAAAAAGAAGAAAAUUGUUCAAUGGUCGUUUGAAGAAACUUGAAAAAAAUACUUGCACAUAAUCAUCGAAAAAAAGAAAACACACACACACACACACAAACCGGAAAGAAGAUAGAAAUGAUUUAAAUCAGUCGUCCACUUUUUCGUUGAAAGUGAUCAAAGUCUAAUACGAAGAAAAAGAAAAACACUCGAAAAAAAAGCAAGAAAAAAAAAGACGUUUUAAUAAUCAUCAAAGUCAUCAUUUUUCUGUAUAUUCAAGUCAGUAUUUUUGCCAGGAUAGAACAGUAACGUAUAUUUCCAACGAAUCUCAAUUUCCAUUCGCCAUUUCGCGUUCUCUCGCGUCCCGUGGUCAUAAAAAUCUAACGACUUGGUUUGCAGUAACGUAAAGACUGCGUCGACGUUGGCUUAUGGUGGUCCCGACCAUAGAAAAUGGAUAGAAAAUAAAAAAAAAAAAAAAAAAGAGAAGGGAAGAAAAGAG
Molecule: long non-coding RNA, 2182 nt
Organism: Polistes canadensis
Lineage: Eukaryota; Metazoa; Arthropoda; Insecta; Hymenoptera; Vespidae
Exons: 3
Source: RefSeq, a predicted model, not a curated record